AAGCAGUUGACUCUCGGGCUGGCCGAAACCCUUCACCGGGCUUGCCCUCCUCCCCGCAUUUUCGUUCGGGCACCUACCCCCUUCCUUUCCAGUCCUGAUGAAGGGACUCGGCCCCAACCGUCAACUCCAUUUCCAGAGAUACUAACUGACCUGCUGAGUUCCUCCGACAUUUUGAUGAUGACGACAACUCGUCAAAGGAAGGAUUUCUGCUCUUCGCAAGUGGACACGAGAGAAGACAACUGGAAGGGCGGGCAACGGAGGAGUUCAGGCUUAAGCUAAGGCAGAGGUUCCCAAACUAUCGAUGCCAUGGACCAAUACCAUUAAGCAAUGGGGCCUGAACUAAAGAGAGGACUUAUCAUCUACUUCCGCCAAUAUUGCCACCUUGUUUGUUGCCUGUAGGAACUUGCAAUGUGCAAAUUAAUUGCAGAAUUUCCAACACAAUAUUGAGUGCACAGUUAGACUGACUGUAAGAAAAAAAUCGGGACUGAAAUUAUUGUGUAAACACAAAACCGUCUUCUCAUUACAGCAGUGUAUGAAAUUCAAACUUUGCACCUCCAGGUAAAAUAAUCGCAUUUCUAAAUCUAACUCCUGAAGAUCUAAAUCAGGUUUAAUAUCAUUGGCAUUUGUCAUGAAAUCUGUUGAUAUGUGGCAGCAAUA
Mobula hypostoma (lesser devil ray) is the source of this 657-nucleotide long non-coding RNA. RefSeq lists it as uncharacterized. The transcript has 3 exons. The record is from RefSeq and is a predicted model, not a curated record. Lineage: Eukaryota; Metazoa; Chordata; Chondrichthyes; Myliobatiformes; Myliobatidae.